AUAAAUAAAUUAAUUUAUAUAUAUAUAUAUAUAUACAUUUUUUAUUGUGGAUUAAGGUUUUAAAAAAUGAAAGUCAAAACUGGGAGGCACUUUUCUCUGUGGAAAGAACUCUUUCUGUUCCCCUGCUCAGCAUGGUACCUCACACUGCAGAGCCUUUGUAGAUGUCAUUCCUUUUGCUUGGAACAGCCUCUGCUCCCUCUCAUUUCCACCCUUUAUCGGGUCCCAGUAUUGGAUCUUACCUCAGAUGGCGUUUUCUCCAAGACUAAGUCAAGUUUACUGUUACAGGCUCUCCUUAUACCACAUGACUUUCCUUUACUUCCUGCACAUAUAUGUUUAUGUACAUGAUAACAGCAUGUAAUUAAUGUCUUCCUCUGAGGACUCUCUGAGGACAGCAACCUUGAAUAUCUGCCACUAUUUGUGAUAAUCAGGAAACUCACCACCCUCCCUUUUAUUCAUUCCUUCUCCGAUUUUGUUCCUACCUUCACCAGACCUGAGUCUUUCAUCUUUUUACUUUGAUUUCUCUAGAUAUAGUGUUUGACUUUGGGCUCUGCCUUAGCUCUUAGCUCAUUUUUUUGAGAAAACAGAGCAUGAAAAAAAGCAUAUGUACUCAUGCUUUAUUGGGGGUUAUAAUCCCAGAGCAGGAAGAAAAAGGGAAAAAAGGAAAUGAGCCAGGAAGCAGAGAAGGCAGAUACAAAAAGUGCUGCAUUACUUAGCCAGUCAUACACUCAUAAGAAAACACUGGCAGUUUCUUAGUCACCAGGCUGUCGUGGAAGAAGCUGUGUGGAAUGAUGGUGGCACAGACAAUGGAAGGGUGGAAGGAAGGUAGGAAAGAGAAGUUCAUUGGCCAUCUCCCUCCUGAUUCCUGUGUCUUUCUUACUAGUCAAUGUUCACCUUACCGGGGAUCGGUUCCUCCAUACUUCAAGGUUUUAUUACUUGGCUUCUGUGGAGAGCUGCUAAGGAAAUGGAACCAGCUGAGUCAGACCCUUGUGCUUGAGCUACAUUGGAUCCAACAGCAGCAGGCGAGAAGGAGACCACACUGAAGUCUGAUCCUUACCACCCCCAGCCAAGAUGCUGAGAAAAGAAAGCAAGUAGUUUUCCCUCAAUAUCCAUGGAAGAUUGGUUCCAGACCUCCUGUAGCUGCCGCAAUUCACAGAUGCUCAAGUCCUUCAUAUAGAAUGGUGUAGUAUUUGCCUAUAUCCUAUGCACAUUCUCCUAUAUAUUUUAAAUCAUUUCUAGAUGUCUUAUAAUACCUAAUAAAUGUAAAUACUAUGUUAAUAGUGGUUAUACUAUAUUGUUUAGGGGAUAAUGACAGGGAAAAAAAUGUUCAGUACAGACUCAGCCAUUCACUUUUGGGUGGAGGAAUAUUUUUCAUUGCAGUUGGGUGAAUUCAUGGAUGUGGAAAUCACAAAUACGGGGGGUUAACUGUAUGUGUUUAUAGUUUAUGUUAUAAUAACCUUGUUGUCUACCAUUUCUGAUUCUCUUCAUUUGUACCUUAUUUUUUAAACAACGAGGAUCCACUGAAGAUAUUUGGUGGGGAAAAGGUUUUAAUUUGGGGGGCAUUUAAAUAUGUAAUAUUUGAGGACGAUUUCUCUGGCAGACGUGGGUGGCGAGAGAGAUAGAAAUCGGAACAGUCUGGAAGCAGUUGCUGCAGUUGGUACAAGUUAAUGGAGGCCUGGACUUGGCUAGAUUUUGACUCUUUUGGCUUGUGUUUUGCCUUCUGGAGCUGGUAUUGCCUAAGUCAGUGAAUAGACACUGACUUAGAAUCAGGCAUGGAUAGGUAUACUGAUCAGGAAUUGUUAGUGAACUGAAGUCACUCUAGGGAUGAAUCCAAGUGGGGAAUAAUGCCUUGUCUGUUGAUUUGAGGGUCACAUAAAGAGAGGCUUUCCCACGGCAAGCCUCUGUGGAAAACAUGAAGCCUAGCAAAUAAAGCUCGUCUCAGGACAUGGUGAUGAACAUAAAUUCAAGCAGUUAUGUGUGUAUAGCAAUGGAGGAGGGGGAAUGAGAAGGAGAGAUUCUUCCCCGUACACAUGUCCUUGCAGCUGUUGGGGAUGAGGUUACAGACUAUGGAAGAGAAUGAACAAUUCCCAUUCCCUUUCUCAGGGCUGAUGACCUCUCAGAAAUUAAACAAAUCAAUACUGUGCCCUCAGAGGUAGCAUGUUUGACUGCCCUGAUUCAAUGGGCUCUAUUGUUUCAGGUGAAUCCAGGUGAUUUAAUUCCUCUCUGAUACCCUCUCUAGGAGAUUUUGUCUGUGAAUUUUUCUCUGGAAUAGUUUUGUAAGAUCUCAAUUAGACAUGCCAGUACAUACAGUUAACAACAACAACAGCAACAAAAAACAAAGAACAUCAGUGGAAAGAAAACAUUGGUGCCAUAGAUAGUGUGCAGUGGUUAUUCUAGUCCAAGCAGGAGGUAUCCAGGGCCUGAAUAAAGCAGUAGUGAUGAAGGUUCACCUGCAGAAUGCUCAUAAAGGUAAUUGAGGGUAGCAAAAAACAAUAACAAAAGUUUGAAAGCUUUGAAAUAGUCCAUCAAUCGAAGAAAUCAAAGUGAAAAUUAGAAAAUACUUAGAACUUUUUUAAAA
This is a long non-coding RNA of Sapajus apella (tufted capuchin), 2575 nucleotides long. RefSeq lists it as uncharacterized. The transcript has 2 exons. NCBI's taxonomy places the organism in Eukaryota, Metazoa, Chordata, Mammalia, Primates, Cebidae. The record is from RefSeq and is a predicted model, not a curated record.